GUUCAUCCAACAGAGAGAACUGAAGAAACAUAAACCUGCAUCUCGUGACCUGCUGAACACAAACACACACUCCAGUCUUUUACUGCAGAUAUAAAUCCACACUCACACACAGCAGGGGCAGAAGAGGCUGAGACACAGGAGAGACGAGAGUGAGACACAGAAGGUUUCAGAUCAGAUCUCUGAAGCGGGAGGGGCAAGUUUUAACAUUAGAUUUAGCAUUAAAGCAGAGAGUGAACUCUGACCCCGCCGAGCUGCUGCUGGUGUUGAUGAAGAUGAAGAUGAAGAUGAUGUUGCUCUUCCUGUCUGUCCUGCUCUUCCUCUCUCAGUUCUCUGCCACUUUUCCUCUUAAAGGCUGCGUGUGUGAGCCUGUGGAGAACGCCGUCAACACCACACGACUCAUUAACACGCUGUGGAUCAUCAGGAACAAACCCACGUCCCCGGUAAAUCUGACAUGUGUCUGUUUGUGUGAGUGUCGGCGUGUCGUUCAGCUCAACAUCAACGAUUCAGCGAUUGAGGUGAAGGAGAGCGAGCGAGAGAUGCUGGAGGACGAGUGUGUGAAGCUGGUGAAGGAUCUCAGCACGAAGAAGGAAUCAGGAGACUUGUCUGUGUUGUCUGUUGCGACUCCGCUCGUAGGAGCUUCGGUCUUCAUCACUCUUCUUCUGCUCAGCUUCGCAAUGUUUAAAAGACAAGAGUCUCAGGCUGGAGGUGUUUUAGGCUCUCUUAUUCAUUAUCCAGCUCACUCUCUGGAGAGGACGACGAAUCCGGGAGCAUUUCUACCUCCAGAGACUAAAUUCCCCACUGACACGGUGAAGAUGUGAGAGUGAUAGUAUACUGUGUUAAACUAUAUUAUAUUAACUAUAUUAUAUGGUGCAGAUUACAACCUUUCUGUGUAAAAUAACAGUCUAUUACACUCCUACAGCAUUUACAGAGUGUCCAGAUGAGAGCUCGUCUUGUAGAAGGAAAGGAUUUUUACUGCAACACACACACACACAUACACACACACACACAUACACACAUACACACACACACAUACACACAUACACACAUACACACACACACACACACACACACACACACACUUCUUACAAGUGGCUCAAGAAUACACGGUGGUGUGUAACACUUUCUUGCUGCACUGAAAGUCGUACAGGACUCAAAACAGCUGAAAUGCAAACUGAGACUUCAUCAGUGUUUUUUACUAAGGCUCCAUCCCAGACAGACUCUGCUCUAACGAAACUUAUUUAGAACUGCAAGGGUCUUUGCUUCUUUUCUUUGUAGGGAAAAACUCUCUAUUUCUUAUCUUUUUCAUCAAUAAGUUGAAGUUGAACUUUUCAGACUUGCAGUGUUUAUUUGUCUUGUUAGCCAUACCGUGGUACAUCAGUAUAAUGCAUUUAUUACUUUUUCCCCUCUCUCAGACUCUCUGAUUGCCACAAAUGUACACAACAUGAUGUAAUGUCCUGCACUUGUAAGAUAAGAUCGGUGAAUCAUUAAAGCACAAAGAAGGCUUUAUAAACAUUAUAAGCAUGAAUGAAUGCUAAACUAUACUCUGUCUGUUUUGAUUCUGUUAAAAAUUAAUGCUAAUAAUACACAUCAUUCACUGUUUUUUUUCCUUGUUCAAAUUAUUUCAAAUGUAUUUUUUAUUUCCGUUUAAAACAAGUCUACACUAUAAUAUACUUAAUAUUUCUAAUAAAGCACUUUUCGAAAGAAACACUCAGAAUUUUUUUUUUAAACGAGUUAAUUUGGAGUAUUUCCAUAUUUAUUUGCAUAUUUUUGUAUUUUUACGACACUUGAAACAACACAGACUGAAAUCGAUGUCGAGUUCGAUGAUCAAUGAGGAACUGGUUUCUGUUCAACCCGGAAGAAUUAUCGGUUGCACAAUAUUACACAAGAUAAAAAAAAAUAUUGUUCUUUAAUGUGUACACUUUCCCCCCCGAUAAGUUGAAAAGUACAAAAUAAAC
Long non-coding RNA from Ictalurus punctatus (channel catfish), 1955 nucleotides. Lineage: Eukaryota; Metazoa; Chordata; Actinopteri; Siluriformes; Ictaluridae. The record is from Ensembl.